Molecule: ribosomal RNA, 497 nt
Filed under: uncultured bacterium
Lineage: Bacteria
Description: partial 16S ribosomal RNA
Rfam family: Bacterial small subunit ribosomal RNA
Source: RNAcentral
GACGAACGCUGGCGGCGUGCCUAAUACAUGCGAGUUGAGCGCUGAAGGUUGGUACUUGUACCAACUGGAUGAGCAGCGAACGGGUGAGUAACGCGUGGGGAAUCUGCCUUUGAGCGGGGGACAACAUUUGGAAACGAAUGCUAAUACCGCAUAAAAACUUUAAACACAAGUUUUAAGUUUGAAAGAUGCAAUUGCAUCACUCAAAGAUGAUCCCGCGUUGUAUUAGCUAGUUGGUGAGGUAAAGGCUCACCAAGGCGAUGAUACAUAGCCGACCUGAGAGGGUGAUCGGCCACAUUGGGACUGAGACACGCCCCAAACUCCUACGGGAGGCAGCAGUAGGGAAUCUUCGGCAAUGGACGAAAGUCUGACCGAGCAACGCCGCGUGAGUGAAGAAGGUUUUCGGAUCGUAAAACUCUGUUGGUAGAGAAGAACGUUGGUGGGAGUGGAAAGCUCAUCAAGUGACGGUAACUACCCAGAAAGGGACGGCUAACUACGUG